CCUACGGGUGGCAGCAGUGGGGAAUAUUGGGCAAUGGACGCAAGUCUGACCCAGCAACGCCGCGUGAAGGAAGAAGGCUUUCGGGUUGUAAACUUCUUUUAAGGGGGAAGAGCAGAAGACGGUACCCCUUGAAUAAGCCACGGCUAACUACGUGCCAGCAGCCGCGGUAAUACGUAGGUGGCAAGCGUUGUCCGGAUUUACUGGGUGUAAAGGGCGUGCAGCCGGAGGGACAAGUCAGAUGUGAAAUCCACGGGCGCAACCCGUGAACUGCAUUUGAAACUGUUUCCCUUGAGUGUCGGAGAGGUAAUCGGAAGUCCUAGUGUAGCGGUGAAAUGCGUAGAUAUUAGGAAGAACACCAGUGGCGAAGGCGGAUUACUGGACGAUAACUGACGCUGAUGCUCGAAAGCGCGGGUAUCGAACAGGAUUAGAUACCCUUGUAGUC
This 442-nucleotide ribosomal RNA is filed under the name uncultured bacterium. RNAcentral describes it as "partial 16S ribosomal RNA". It matches the Rfam family "Bacterial small subunit ribosomal RNA", at positions 338 to 795 of the family's 1533-position model. The record is from RNAcentral.